Myotis daubentonii (Daubenton's bat) is the source of this 473-nucleotide non-coding RNA. Lineage: Eukaryota; Metazoa; Chordata; Mammalia; Chiroptera; Vespertilionidae. The record is from the annotation of a RefSeq genome assembly.
AAGACAUGAGAUUCUGCCCUGGACCUGAAAUGGUCACCAGGCUCUUCUUCUGGGUGGCUCUUUGUCUCCUGUGGGCAGGAAACCUGGAUGCCCGAAUCACCCAGAGCCCAAGAUACAAGGUUGUGGGGACAGAAAAGAAUGUGACACUGAGUUGUCACCAGACUAAUAACCACGACGUUAUGUACUGGUAUCGCCAAGACCUGAGCCAUGAGCUGACGCUGAUCUAUUACUCAGUUGGUGCUGGGAUCACCGCCAAAGGAGAUGGUGCUGAUGGGUACAGUGUCUCUAGAUCAAAUACAGAGAACUUUGCCCUCACAUUGGAGUCAGCGACACCCUCACAGACAUCUGUGUACUUCUGUGCCAGCCGUGAAUCCACAGCAUUGCAGGGCCACCUCCUCUCAGUACAAAAAGGCAGGGGGAGGCCCUGCACCAUGGACUUAGGGGAGCACUAAACAAACUUCACACCAUGGAGC